GACGAACGCUGGCGGCGUGCCUAACACAUGCAAGUCGUGCGAGAAAGUUCCUUCGGGAGCGAGUAAAGCGGCGCACGGGUGAGUAACACGUAGGUAACCUGCCCCCCAGUCUGGAACAACUAGAGGAAACUCUAGCUAAUGCCGGAUGAGACCACGAUCCCUUCGGGGGUUGCGGCCAAAGAUGGCCUCUACUUGUAAGCUAUCGCUGAGGGAUGGGCCUGCGGGCCAUUAGCUUGUUGGUGAGGUAACGGCUCACCAAGGCUGUGAUGGCUAGCUGGUCUGAGAGGAUGACCAGCCACACUGGGACUGAGACACGGCCCAGACU
This 325-nucleotide ribosomal RNA is filed under the name uncultured bacterium. RNAcentral describes it as "bacterial SSU rRNA". It matches the Rfam family "Bacterial small subunit ribosomal RNA", at positions 28 to 337 of the family's 1533-position model. The record is from RNAcentral.